CGUGCGGUGCUGCGUAUCGCGCAUCAAUACUUGUGAUUUAGUUUCCGAUGAUCGAUUGGUCUGAAGGAGUACGAAUAAGACGAGAUAUUCAAAACUAAUCUUGCGCAGAAGGGCGCUUGUCAAAGCACAACGUACGCGUAAAGUAAAAUAUAGCUGUGUAAUGGAGCAAAGUGAGACGAAGAGGUGAACAGUAUUAGUAAUAUAGUACUUAUGAUUUAGGAUUGAGAUUUUGAGAAAUGUUUCGUUUGGAUGCAUUUGAACUGCAAAAGUUUAUAUAAUGAUAAAAAUACUGUCUCCGCUCUCGCACAUUAUUCUUUUUGAAUAAAUAUCGAAAUGCGAAGAAACGCAAAAAUAUAAAUGAAAAAUCCUGUGCAUCGUACACGAUAGAUCUUAUCGGCGGUCAAAACACAGAAGAAAUAAUAAA
Long non-coding RNA from Bombus pascuorum, 424 nucleotides. RefSeq lists it as uncharacterized. NCBI's taxonomy places the organism in Eukaryota, Metazoa, Arthropoda, Insecta, Hymenoptera, Apidae. The record is from RefSeq and is a predicted model, not a curated record. The transcript has 2 exons.